UGGUCUCUUCCAGGAAGUCAGCAAGGCUGGCUAGGAACAGCACUGCUGGGAUCCUGCUUUUGGGAAGCUGAGUGUCUCCAUACAAAGGGCUUGCUCCAAGGCACUUUCCUCAAAUGGAUAUGGCCCAUUAGACCAGAGUCUCUUGCAAUGCAAAUUUCCUCUUUGUCCUGAAGAAUGGAGUCCACAAUGGCAGAAACAACAGACUCUCAACCCAAUACUGAGGAUGGUAUAAAGGAAAAGGCUCAGGAGAGUUCUCCUGGUCAGCCUCAUGCUCUGGAUAACUCAAUGUCUUUUUCUGAGAUCCUCCGUCUGGUCCAGGCUGGGCAGGACAUCCCUGGACUGCAGAAGCUGAACAUCACCGCAACUAAUGGGACUGCAACACCGUCUCAAAUGGCUCCUAAACCCAAACCUUGGGAGAACAAGCAGUGAUGAAUGGAAAGCCUUUUCACUCAUCUUCCAUGCCAGAAAUAAAUAUUUGUGAACUUCUGAAGUUUGUUUAUGCCCUUGCUCAAUGUUAGAACCUUGCGAGUCCGCAUGCUCACAUUGUUUGUGGACAAAGGGUUAUUUUUGAUACUGUUAUUAAACUCUCCUGUCCUUGUG
This is a long non-coding RNA of Anolis sagrei ordinatus, 600 nucleotides long. RefSeq lists it as uncharacterized. Lineage: Eukaryota; Metazoa; Chordata; Lepidosauria; Squamata; Anolidae. The record is from RefSeq and is a predicted model, not a curated record.